Lutra lutra (Eurasian river otter) is the source of this 2279-nucleotide long non-coding RNA. RefSeq lists it as uncharacterized. The transcript has 4 exons. Lineage: Eukaryota; Metazoa; Chordata; Mammalia; Carnivora; Mustelidae. The record is from RefSeq and is a predicted model, not a curated record.
UCAUUAGCAUUCCCAGGCUUGUAGAUGCAUCACUAUUCUUAUAAGGAUACCAGUCAUUGAAAUACUGAAUCCAGUAUGACCUUCUCUUAACUUGAUUACAUCUGCAAAGACCCUAUUUCCAAAUCAGGUCACGUUCACAGGUACCAUGUGUUAGCUCUUAAACAUAUCUUUUUGAAGGAACACAGUUCAACCCAAAAAAGUCUGCUCUCUAGCACUCUAAAAUUCAUGUCCUUCCUAUGCAAAAUACAUUCACCAAGUCCCAACAUACCCCUCAGAUCUUAAUUUAUUUCAGCUUUAACUGUAAGUCCAAAAUUUCAUCCAAAUAUAAUAACUCAAAAAACCCCACUCCCAACUUCUGAAUCAUCUAAAUCAGAAAUCAGUGAGACUCCAGGUAUAGGCUGUUCUGGGGCAUAAUUAUUCUCUGUCUACAGAUCUGUAGAACUUGAAAACAAAGUGUUCACAAAUUACAAUGAUAGGGGACAUAUGGCUAGAGGUAAGGCCACAUUUGGUGGGGAGUGAGGGAGGGUGGGCCCCACAAGAUCCUCAUAGAUUGAUUGCAUUGAACGUUUGAUGGUUGAUGGUUUAUCAGCGAUCUCUCACUGCUGUUGACAUUUUCAUAUUUGGCUGUUCCAAACUUUGAAACUAAACCAUCUCAUGUUUUAUGAAAUGGACAUUCCACACACCCAAGUAGCUGUAACUGAUACUGCUAAAUGUAUUAUAAAAAUUGCUAUUUUAAGGAUGUGUCAUGCUUCUCUUAAUUGUAAGUAAUGUUCAGACAGAGGUACUGGGACAAGUGUCCAGCCAGGCUCUUCCAGCCCAGCCAUGUAAUAUCAGUAAAGCCUUACAAGAUGGGGGAUGGAUUAACAUCCUGAUAAAGAGCUAUUUGCCGGGCUGUACGGUAUGCUCUCCCACUGGGUCAAUCAGUCCUAAUAAGCCUUUUGAGCUACAAAUGUCAGUGACCAACCACUAUGCACACUAGAGCACCAGUCAGGCAUCAGUCAAACUUUCCACCCACAUGAAGGUGGACAUUUACCUCUGCAUAUGUGCUUUCUCAGAGUUUGGAGUCUGCCAGUACCUUAUGCUUCUUGAGGGUGUUGGAAUAUUGAAGUCUCUGAGGAGGCCUGGACUUCGAUGAUGAACAGAUCAGCUAAGUUGAAGGCUGGUAGUGCACUGAGCCACUAUGGCUAUGUAUCCACAGAGAAAACUGUUACAAACCUUAUAUGCUAAAGAAAACUCCACCAGUGGUUCGAGUUGUAGGCUGUGGUGCUUGUCCAGUAAAACACUGCCCCAAAAUACAUCUUGCUACAUUUUCACUGACUCAUAAGCAAUAGCCAACAGGAUGGCAGGAUGGUACUUUAGUGCCCGGUAGCAGGAUCAAGUCCUAAGCCCCUGUGGGGUCACACAUUGUGAUAACAGAAUGUGUAGGAUCCCUUACUCCCAUGGACUCCAGAGGCAAAGGACCCUUUGACAAUGGACAUCACUGAAACCAACUGGUGUUAUUUUAGGCUGAUCAGACCUGAGCCAUCCAGAUAAGACCAUAAACCUCUGGAUAUACCAUGACACAGGAUGUGCAUCAGUAUUCCAGCACUGAGACCGAAGUCAAAGCUUAGUGAUUCAGCCUCUGAGGCCAGGAAAACCUGACAAAUCUGCUUAAAGUGCCAAUUCCACAGUUGAAUGGUGUACUAGUAUCCUAGAGCUCCUUAAGAAAGCACCACAGCUUUUUGGCUUAAAAUAACAGGCAUGUGUUCUCUCACAGUUCUGCAGGCUAGAGGUCUGAACCAGUGUUCAUCUGCCCCAUAUAUAGCAAGCCAGUAAAGAUUGACACAGAUUGACACUGAGCUUCUGCAGUGAAGAAAGAUGGUGUGGUGCCUCCCAAGAGAAUGGGGAGCUAAUGCUCAAAGUCUCUUACAGCCUAGGUUCCAGCUCCCUUGGAAGAAAGCAGCUUUUAUGAAGUAGGAAGGAGGAAGCUCCAGGAACAGGAAUCUCACCUUGAAGGUUACUCCUCUGACCUCGACUUCUCAACCACAGCUUUAGAGCAGAGGCAGGAAACUGCUGGAAAGGAGCAGGUCCUAGGUUUGCGUAGUCUGCAGUAGCAGUUCUUUAUUCUGCUCAGAAUGAGCAUUGCCUCACUAUCACCACAUCCAGAGGGCCUCACCAUGAUGGUGAAAGGUCUGGACCAAGCUUCAGAAAAGAUAGCUGUACAUUCAGCCUUCUCUGUACAUUCCCAGAAAGAACAGAAAAAGAAUAAAUGCCAGAGAAAGAGAGAGCGCACAAGCAGG